GCUUUUAUGGUGUAUAUAGCAUUAGAAAUUUUCAAUUUCUAGGAGUAAAUUGUGUUAAUAAGGUUAUUAAAAGUG
RNAcentral lists this transfer RNA (75 nucleotides) under Cirroteuthis muelleri. RNAcentral describes it as "tRNA-Glu". The record is from RNAcentral. Lineage: Eukaryota; Metazoa; Mollusca; Cephalopoda; Octopoda; Cirroteuthidae.